GUCCACGCCGUAAACGAUGGAUACUAGCUGUUGGGAGCGAUCUCAGUGGCUAAGCGAAAGUGAUAAGUAUCCCACCUGGGGAGUACGUUCGCAAGAAUGAAACUCAAAGGAAUUGACGGGGGCCCGCACAAGCGGUGGAGCAUGUGGUUUAAUUCGAUGAUAACGCGAAGGAACCUUACCAAAGGCUUAAAAUGUAGUUUGACCGAUUUGGAAACAGAUUUUCGCAAGACAAAUUACAAGGUGCUGCAUGGUUGUCGU
Molecule: ribosomal RNA, 258 nt
Filed under: uncultured bacterium
Lineage: Bacteria
Description: partial 16S ribosomal RNA
Rfam family: Bacterial small subunit ribosomal RNA
Source: RNAcentral